UUCCGCCCUCCGCAGUUCUAAACUGGUUCGACGAACAGCAAACUUAUUACAAGUGAUAUUGUAAAACAAAAAAAAAAAAACCCGCGUUGUGAAAUGUCAAAAGUUUGUGACGAAUUUAAAUUAUAAUCUGUGCAUUGUGGUGAUUAUUUGUGUUUCAUUUUUUUUAAUUGUUAAUGUGUGUUGUGUGGAGAUAGCAUUUAUCUAUGUAGAGGUAUCAAUUGGAGGUUAAUUCCAUCAGUGACGUCUCGACACAGAUUGGACGUUCGACACACAUGUUUGCAGCUGACAAGGGUAU
Vanessa atalanta (red admiral) is the source of this 295-nucleotide long non-coding RNA. RefSeq lists it as uncharacterized. The record is from RefSeq and is a predicted model, not a curated record. Lineage: Eukaryota; Metazoa; Arthropoda; Insecta; Lepidoptera; Nymphalidae. The transcript has 3 exons.